RNAcentral lists this ribosomal RNA (254 nucleotides) under uncultured bacterium. RNAcentral describes it as "partial 16S ribosomal RNA". It matches the Rfam family "Bacterial small subunit ribosomal RNA", at positions 524 to 776 of the family's 1533-position model. The record is from RNAcentral.
UACGGGGGGGGCAAGCGUUGUUCGGAAUUACUGGGCGUAAAGGGCUCGUAGGUGGCCAACUAAGUCAGACGUGAAAUCCCUCGGCUUAACCGGGGAACUGCGUCUGAUACUGGAUGGCUUGAGUGUGGGAGAGGGAUGCGGAAUUCCAGGUGUAGCGGUGAAAUGCGUAGAUAUCUGGAAGAACACCGGUGGCGAAGGCGGCAUCCUGGACCACGACUGACGCUGAGUGAGCGAAAGCCAGGGGAGCAAACGGG